This 1364-nucleotide long non-coding RNA is filed under the name Cucumis sativus (cucumber). RNAcentral's name for it is "long non-coding RNA (CSAT_LNC000737)". Lineage: Eukaryota; Viridiplantae; Streptophyta; Magnoliopsida; Cucurbitales; Cucurbitaceae. The record is from RNAcentral.
GAAUCCUUUUCUCCAUACUACUAAGAAAAUUACAUUUUUAGUAUUUAAAAUACUACGAUUGUUUAACCAGUAAUCACCAACUGCAAAGUAAAGUUCCAUACAUGAGGUGGACUAGUUGAGACCUCCCUUAUUCACAUGAUUAGAUGAUUUGAUCUAAUUCUUGAUUUGGUGGACCAUCAUGUUUAUCCUCAAUUAAUUUAAUUCCUCGUUUUAUUUAGGUAUAAGAAUUUCGUACAAUUAUCAUCUAUGUUAAUUAAACUAUUUAAUAAUUGUUUUUUUUUUAAAGAAAUGUGGACUUUGGUCAUUUUCAUAAUUUUUAAUAGCGAAGAAAUCUUUCCCCCAGCUGCCACGUAAUUGCUGGAACUAUAAAUUCGGAUGGGAUGCCUUCGACUUCUCCGCCCCCUAACCAUAUAAAUAAUUUUAAAAUUAUUAUUUGAACGAUAAAUAAUUUCACCUAUUUUUUUUUUCAAUUUCAUAAAUUACUCGUAAAAUAAGAUGUUAUUGAAAUCUAGUGUUAAAUUUGUCUUUUUAUUUAUUUAAAUUCUCCUUUAAUAUUUAUUCAUAUAAAUUAAAAAGGGUUAGAAAUAACAAAUUUGACAAAAUAUAUAUAAUAGCAAAAUUUCAAAUUCCAUCACUUUCUAUCAGUUUUGACCAUAAUAGUAUCUAAAAUUUUGUUAUUUUGAAGGAGGCUUGAACAUGCUUCUAUCAAUUUAUUUUACUAUUUUUAAAAUUGUCUAUAAAUUAUACUUUUUGUUAUAGAUUUUUAAUUAAUAAUUUUAGAAAACUAAUUUGAAAUUAAAAAGUAAAAGAAAUAAUUUUAAAAAAGAGAUGUUGGCAAAAGUAGAAAAAAAAAUGAAAAUAGAAUUCGUGUCAUUACAUUUUUUUAAUUUUCCGCAUAGGUAUAGAUGUAGGAAAAAAAAAUUAUGUAUGCAAUUUUCUAGUAAUUUUUCUUUAGAAUUUAAGUAGAAGACUAAGGUGUUUUUAGAAAUGAAUGGACAUAACCUAAAUAGUUAUUAAAUCGACUCUCAACUUUUACCAUAAAAAAAUGAGUGGAAAUAUAAUUGUGUCAUUUUCUUUGGUUAAUGUAAGACGCUUAACUAAAUAGAGCGAAAACGAAGAAGAAGAAGAAAGUAUAAAGUUAAAAAAAUGGAUUAGGACUUGAGAGUGAGAUUUCACGUCAAUUAAUUCACGCUUAGCAAAACUAUUAGCACAAACCUUCUCUGUUUUAUCUCUCGAUUCCUUUAUUCUGCCAUUUUUGGUUCUCCCACUUGCAAUCCCACUCAGCUCACGUUUGUAAGGAGGAGCCCUAGCCUCUGCUUCCGGGACCAUCAUGUCGCCGUCUGCUGGCGGAUGCUUCGACGCUG